Molecule: long non-coding RNA, 3986 nt
Organism: Cyanistes caeruleus (blue tit)
Lineage: Eukaryota; Metazoa; Chordata; Aves; Passeriformes; Paridae
Source: RefSeq, a predicted model, not a curated record
GCAGCUGGCAGCUGGGCCGCCCCGCUCACCCCCGGGAUGAGCCUCGCAGCAUCCCGGGCAGGGGCAGGGGGUGCUCCCGGCUGCGCUGCUCGGCGCCGUGCAGGCCGAGGAAGGCGGUGUUUGGCGUGGGUUUAAAAUCGCAAAUAUUCUCAUGCCUCGGUCAUUAGCGGACAGCCCGCCGCUCAGACGGGACAUCGCUGCGGGGGCUCAGCCCUUCGACUGAUGGGUGAUUUCAUUGAUGCUCGUUCCUGGGAGGUCCGAUCGCUCUCUCUGCUCUCACCCAUCUGCCAUGUUCAUGGGACUCACGGGAGAUGUGCCUUUCACAGGCAUCGUCAACUCAUUCGCCGAUUUUCCAGCUGAUUUCAAAAGACUUGGGUCCCUUGGAGUUGCUUGUUCCCAAGAAAAGCAUUCCAGUGUUGGCUGUAACUGUGUGGAUGGAUGCUGUAGAACAUGCCACCUCCAGACUGACAGCUGCUCCAAACACAUGGGGACAUGAAAAUGUUGUCAUUGCCUUAGUGACUGUCUGGGCUGCUCUUUUUCCCUUUGGCUAAGCAGCCAAGAAGGGGUGAGUUUGGGCCAGGGACGGUCUCGUUUUGGCUGCAGAGCUGGAUUAGGGCUGAGGCUGGAGCUGGAGAAGAUGAAGCUUCCUCCACACGCACAGGCAGUGCUGCAGGUGGGUCACAAAGACCUGCAGCCAGGCAGAAGAUACAGCUGCAGUGGCAUCUGCCUCAUCCUGUGUGGCAUCAAAAACCCCACAGGACUCAGAAAACCACAUGGGGGGUUCUGUCUGUGCUGAAACCUGAGGGACCAUGGCCAUGCUGGGGCCAGCGCUUCUGUCUGAGCCAGUGACACUCUGGAUGUGGUGUCGGUGUCCCUGUGAUGGUUAGGGCUGACCACUUCUGCUUCUUGCUCUUUGGUCAUGAGUCCUGCAUACAGCCCUUCAUCAGGAAGUCAGAGAAAAGAGGAAGACCCUGUUCUGCAGAGUGUAUUUCCUACAGUGUUUCAAACAGGCUUGUGGAGAAGUCUGGAUUAUAUACUGGAAGUAUCCCUCUUUGAGGCAACAACCUGGAAAAAUAAAUAAUGGUGGCCUGUGCAAAUUGGAUUUAUGGAGCUUUAACUGUGCUGACCCAUGAAUUUUGAUAAAUACAUUUCUACUAUUAAUAAAGGCACUGAGCUGCUCAGCUAUUGAGGGAUGUCUAAAAGCUUUCUGGAUGAGCAGCUGCAAUGCACAUUUUGCUGUAUUGCUUUCCAUAAAUCCAUAGCUGGGAUCCUCCUGGCCAUGUGCAAAAGUCUCUGGAGAGAACAGAGCUGGCACAGUCUGCUGCUCUGUUUGAUCCUAGUGCAAGGAGUAAAAAAGUGGCACUGACUGGAAAACUCUCUCUUUUAACUAUCUUCAGCUAGAUCUUCAUUGAAUUGUGUCCCCCCAGCAGCCUGACUUGAAGUCACUCUGACAGGGGAAGGAAGAGUACAAUGAAGAACUGUACCCCAGGACUGGGGACCAAAACUCUGCUGUUAGAGUUGCACAGUUUCAGUCUUUUUACAGAACAGUCAGAUGAUGCUCCAGCACUGCAGGAGACUGCUGAAAGGAUAUUUGAUGUACUCUGUGGAACUUUGCACUGUGCAGCUCUCUGUGUUACUCACAAAUGGGAAAACAGAAGGUCAAUCCUUUCAGUGUAGAUAAAGAGAUAGGGAAAUAUUAUCUAAAACAGAGGAGGCUGGACUUAUACUGGCUAUUACAUCUCAGGAAGAAGAUGCUGGAGUCCUCCCUGAUGGUUUGCCAAAAUUGUAGGCUUGAUGUGCAGAAAAAAAGAAGCCAACAAAAUAUGUUGAUGUCAUCAGGAAGGGCUUGUAAAAUGAGAAAGAGAGACCUCCUGCCUGUUGUGUAACAGCUUGGUGCACCCAUAUCUGUGCAGGUCUGACCUCUGAUCAUAAAAUCCUAUACUCAUGGAACAAUUUGGGUAGGAAAGGACUUUUAGAGGUUGUCUAGUUCAUCCCCUGUGCCAUAGGCAGGGAUGGCUUCCGUUAGGUCAGGUUGCUCAGAGCCCCAUCUAACCUGGUUUUGAAAGUUUUCAGGGAUGGAGCACCCCAAUCUCUCUGAGUAACCUGUGCCAAUGUUUUACCACCUCCAUUGUGAAAAACUUCUUCCUUAUAUCUAAUCUAAAUCAAACCUCUUAGCUUGAAACCAUCACCCCUUGUCUUGUCACAACAGAACAUCUCAGGAUGUAAGAACACUGUGGGCUUCGAGCCCUGAGCAGGGCAACUGAGAUCAAAGGGAUGGGGGAGCUGCAAUAUGAGUGAGUUCUGGGGAGGUUGGGAUUUUUCUCUGGAGAAGGGGGAGAAAAACAUGCCAGCCCUACAAAAUCAUAAAGAGAAUGUGGACCUGGUGUAUGAUGAGAGUUAGAGGCCAUCGAUCAGUCUGGUAGAUUGACUUAAAAUGGAUAAAAAGGAUUUUAUUUGGAGCAGGUGGGAGAAUGAACUUCUGGAACUCACUACCACAGGAGGUUGUGGAAACAAAUAGGAUCAGCAGGUUUAUAAAAGGUAGAGCAAAUUCGUGAGCAGCAGACAGAUGCUGAAGGCAACAGACAGGAAUGCAGCCUCUGGAAUUGCUCUUACUGCUUGUGUGGGAGCUGGAGGAACACAACCAGAGCUGUGCCCUCCCCAGAUGGCAUCUCCUGCUGCUGAAAAACACAGAAAAACAACACACGGAGAGAGGAAGCGCUGAUGUCACCAGCAGAGCCUUGCCUAUCACCUCAUCUCCAAGCAAAAUCAGAUCUCCCAGGUGGUUGCUGUGUGGUAGGAAGACAGGGAAACCAGCAGGAAGAAAGAUUUUGCAUUUCUAUUCAAUUUCCAUCUUUGUAGUGAAAAUCUAAUCAAUGCUCAUUUUCUGUCUUCUACCACUUUUCCUUUUUUCCACUGGUGAAACAGCCAGUGGAGGAGGUGGGAGGAUUCAAAAAAGUUUGAAUUAAAGUGUAUUUCAAUCAUUCCUUAUUUUCAGACCGCUUGCCUGAAAAAAAAAAAUCCCCUUUACCUCAAAAACUGAUGGAAGCCACCUCCAAACAUCCAAUAUCUCUGGAAAAAGAGGGAAGGGGAUGGGUUCACAGAAAUCAGACCAUCUCCUGUGAUUAGCAGGGUAAAAGGAGGAAACCAAGGAACUACAAACCAGUUGGCUUCAAGUAAAAAAAAACAACAACAAACAGUGGGACUUUUAAUCGAAGAAGGAGAUGAGUAAUAAUCAUGGCCAUUGCCAAGAAUGAAUCCUUUCAGAUGAGUCUGUUUUCCUUCCGUGACAGAUUCCAGUUCUUUGUUUACCAUUAUUCUUUACUGUUCUGUCAUCAAUAACUUGUGUUGUAGUGGAGAAUGUCAUUAUUAAGUUCUCAAAUAUUCUUGAGCUGGAGGAGCUGCAAGCACUGGCUUAAAAUUCAAAAGGGUCCAGACAAAUCAGGGAGAUCAUUUCAGCAGGGAAAAUCUGACAUUUAGGAGAGUGCCUGUCCAAACACACAGCAAAGAAGCACAAGACCUGUUGGCUGCACCACUCCUGGGUUACACUAUUGCCAUAUUGAAUUCCAAUAUGUGAUGUAUAGAAAAGAACAGUUUGUAAAACACUCCACGAUUUCCCUCAUUCCAACAAGAGGAUCUCUCGACUGGUCUCCUGAGAUCAGCUUCCAGUGCAGAAUUAAUUCCCUGUCUUCCCACUGCUUGUUUGCUAGAUCCCCCUUGCUACUGGGAAGAUAGAAAAUUCAUGGAGAAUUCCUGUAAAACUCCCCUGGGAUGCUUGACCUCCUCCAGAAGUAUGUGUUUCUGUGUCCCUUUCCAGGACACACUCUGAAGGGACAUGACUAUCUAGCCAACAAAACAAGAUUAGAAUCCAACCCAUCUGGCCAAUGCUGUUUGCAGCCCCUCAGGAGACUGGUGGAAGUCCUGUGAUUGGGUAAGUCUUUACCACCAAGCUCAUUUCCUGAUGUCAUUUCAAUAAAAAUGAGCUCUGA